ACGCUCGACACCUACGGGAGGCAGCAGUGGGGAAUAUUGCACAAUGGGGGAAACCCUGAUGCAGCGACGCCGCGUGAAGGAAGAAGUAUUUCGGUAUGUAAACUUCUAUCAGCAGGGAAGAAGAUGACGGUACCUGACUAAGAAGCCCCGGCUAACUACGUGCUAGCAGCCGCGGUAAUCUGAGCGGGCUGGCAAGGC
This 198-nucleotide ribosomal RNA is filed under the name uncultured bacterium. RNAcentral's name for it is "partial 16S ribosomal RNA". It matches the Rfam family "Bacterial small subunit ribosomal RNA", at positions 328 to 539 of the family's 1533-position model. The record is from RNAcentral.